This is a long non-coding RNA of Passer domesticus (house sparrow), 1241 nucleotides long. RefSeq lists it as uncharacterized. The record is from RefSeq and is a predicted model, not a curated record. The transcript is spliced from 3 exons. Lineage: Eukaryota; Metazoa; Chordata; Aves; Passeriformes; Passeridae.
UUUCUCCCUCAUGUUUCUGUUGUUCAGUUAACACCCUCUGGUCUGGUUUUGAUGUGAAAUAAAGUUGGGUCCUGUGGAGCCCUAUUUCUGUUUCGGGACAUUUUCCACAAUUCUUAAUUUGCACAGUGUUUUAGAGUCUUUGCAAGGCAUAUCUCCCAUGAUUUUUAUUUUAACUGCAUGGUUCGUGUAUUAAAAAUUAUUAAAUAAUUCUCCUAUUCUCCUAUUUUAGGAAGAAGUUUUUCCUUACCCAGAAAUUAGCAAUGAAGAACUGGCAGAAAUCAACCAGUUUGUGGGACCUGUUGAAAAGUUCUUCAAUGAAGAAGUGGACUCGAAGAAAAUCGAUCAAGAUGCAAAAAUCCCACCCGAAACCUUACAAGGACUGAAGGACCUGGGUCUCUUUGGCAUGCAGAUUCCAGAGGAAUAUGGUGGGCUGGGCCUGUCAAACACCAUGUAUGCACGUCUGGGAGAAAUCAGCUCCCUGGAUGGCUCCAUUGCAGUGACCCUGGCAGCUCACCAGGCCAUUGGGCUGAAGGUAAUGCUGCUGCUCUGGGGCCAGGGCUUCUGCACAGAUUGCAUGGAAAAGGUGAAGUGAAAAAUGUGGGGCUUAGGGGGAGCAAAUCAGAAUUACUGGCAAAGCAUAAAUCAGGUUGUUGGUGUCUGCAGCAGCCUCUGCCACUGGUUCAGUGUGAGACAGAAAGGCUGCAUAGGAAGUACACAAGGAAGUUACUAUUAGGAUAAUUGUUCUUAGGUGAAUGAGUCCAAGUUGUUUUUUUUUUUUAAAUUGGCUAAACUUGUCUAAAGUACCUAGAAUAAAUAGAAUUGAAGCAGUAUCAGGGGGGCUCAGGUGAUGAGGAAGGAAAGAAUUCAGAAAAGAGGAACUUUGGCUGGCUGGGGCUGCAUGUUGGGGGGCCUAGAGGAGAUAACUCAUCUGAGAGAAAGUGUGUCAGUUUUGAACUUGAAUAUAGCCUUAGGUAUUUACCUUUUUAGUGCUGGGUGGAUGGCAGAAAGAAGCUUGAAACCACACUCAGUUUGUUAUAGCAAGAGAAGAUUCCUUGUGGAAUUGAGCAGAGAAUGCUAAUGAAAAAAUAUUUUAAUGACUGACAAAUAAUACAGUCUUGUUGAUUAAACUGUCUCUUGCUAUGCCAUAAAACUUGCAGAUGAAGCUUUCUGAACAUGCUGGAGCUUGUCAGCUCCCUCUCUUUUCCCACAGGGUGAUGCUGCAAAGUUUCCUGUGCUUGUUU